This 451-nucleotide ribosomal RNA is filed under the name uncultured organism. Its description in RNAcentral is "partial 16S ribosomal RNA". It matches the Rfam family "Bacterial small subunit ribosomal RNA", at positions 330 to 797 of the family's 1533-position model. The record is from RNAcentral.
CGUACACUCCUACGGGAGGCAGCAGUGGGGAAUAUUGGACAAUGGGCGCAAGCCUGAUCCAGCCAUGCCGCGUGAGUGAUGAAGGCCCUAGGGUUGUAAAGCUCUUUCACCGGUGAAGAUAAUGACGGUAACUGGAGAAGAAGCCCCGGCUAACUUCGUGCCAGCAGCCGCGGUAAUACGAAGGGGGCUAGCGUUGUUCGGAUUUACUGGGCGUAAAGCGCACGUAGGCGGACUAUUAAGUCAGGGGUGAAAUCCCGGGGCUCAACCCCGGAACUGCCUUUGAUACUGGUAGUCUUGAGUUCGAGAGAGGUGAGUGGAAUUCCGAGUGUAGAGGUGAAAUUCGUAGAUAUUCGGAGGAACACCAGUGGCGAAGGCGGCUCACUGGCUCGAUACUGACGCUGAGGUGCGAAAGCGUGGGGAGCAAACAGGAUUAGAAACCCUAGUAGUCCCA